RNAcentral lists this ribosomal RNA (253 nucleotides) under uncultured bacterium. RNAcentral describes it as "partial 16S ribosomal RNA". It matches the Rfam family "Bacterial small subunit ribosomal RNA", at positions 524 to 776 of the family's 1533-position model. The record is from RNAcentral.
GACGAACCGUGCGAACGUUAUUCGGAAUCACUGGGCUUAAAGGGUGCGUAGGCGGGUUGCCAAGUCUGUGGUGAAAUCCUCCAGCUUAACUGGAGAACUGCCGUGGAUACUGGCGACCUCGAGGGGUGUAGGGGCUUGCGGAACUGUGCGUGGAGCGGUGAAAUGCGUUGAUAUGCACAGGAACUCCGGUGGCGAAAGCGGCGAGCUGGACACCUUCUGACGCUGAGGCACGAAAGCGAGGGGAGCAAACGGA